AUUGAACGCUGGCGGCAGGCCUAACACAUGCAAGUCGAACGAGUGGCGGACGGGUGAGUAAUGUCUGGGAAACUGCCUGAUGGAGGGGGCUAACUACUGGAAACGGUCGCUAAUACCGCAUACCAUCGGAUGUGCCCAGAUGGGAUUAGCUAGUAGGUGGGGUAAGGGCUCACCAAGGCGCCGAUCCCUAGCUGGUCUGAGAGGAGGACCAGCCACACUGGAACUGAGACACGGUCCAGACUCCUAAGGGAGGAAGCAGUGGGGAAUAUUGCACAAUGGGCGCAAGCGUGAUGCAGCAAUGCCGCGUGUAUGAAGAAGGCCUUCGGGUUGUAAAGUACUUUCAGCGUGGAGGCGGUACCCGAAGAAGAAGCACCGGCUAACUCCGUGCCAGCAGCCGCGGUAAUUC
This 406-nucleotide ribosomal RNA is filed under the name uncultured bacterium. RNAcentral describes it as "partial 16S ribosomal RNA". It matches the Rfam family "Bacterial small subunit ribosomal RNA", at positions 30 to 526 of the family's 1533-position model. The record is from RNAcentral.